UACGUACUCCCUCCGUUCGGAAUUACUUGUCGCAGAAAUGAAUGUAUAUAAACGUAUUUUAGUUCUAGAUACAUCCAUUUCCUAGACAAGUAAUUCCGAACCGAGGGAGUAGAAG
Non-coding RNA from Triticum aestivum (bread wheat), 115 nucleotides. NCBI's taxonomy places the organism in Eukaryota, Viridiplantae, Streptophyta, Magnoliopsida, Poales, Poaceae. The record is from Rfam.